GACGAACGCUGGCGGCGUGCUUAACACAUGCAAGUCGAACGGUAAGGCCCUUCGGGGUACACGAGUGGCGAACGGGUGAGUAACACGUGGGUGAUCUGCCCUGCACUUCGGGAUAAGCCUGGGAAACUGGGUCUAAUACCGGAUAGGACCACUGCCUGCAUGGGUGGUGGUGGAAAGCUUUUGCGGUGUGGGAUGGGCCCGCGGCCUAUCAGCUUGUUGGUGGGGUGAUGGCCUACCAAGGCGACGACGGGUAGCCGGCCUGAGAGGGUGGCCGGCCACAGUGGGACUGGGAUACGGCACAGACUCGUACGGGAGGCAGGAGUGGGGAAUAUUGCACAAUGGGCGCAAGCCUGAUGCAGCGAGGCCGCGUGAGGGAUGACGGCCUUCGGGUUGUAAACCUCUUUCAGCACCGACGAAGCGCAAGUGACGGUAGGUGCAGAAGAAGGACCGGCCAACUACGUGCCAGCCGCCGCCGUAA
This 478-nucleotide ribosomal RNA is filed under the name uncultured bacterium. RNAcentral describes it as "partial 16S ribosomal RNA". It matches the Rfam family "Bacterial small subunit ribosomal RNA", at positions 28 to 523 of the family's 1533-position model. The record is from RNAcentral.